UCCCUACGGGGCGCAGCAGUGGGGGAUAUUGCACAAUGGGGGGAACCCUGAUGCAGCGACGCCGCGUGGGUGAAGAAGUAUUUCGGUAUGUAAAGCCCUAUCGGCAGGGAAGAAUUUAGACGGUACCUGACUAAGAAGCCCCGGCUAACUACGUGCCAGCAGCCGCGGUAAUACGUAGGGGGCAAGCGUUAUCCGGAUUCACUGGGUGUAAAGGGAGCGUAGACGGCAGAGCAAGUCUGAAGUGAAAGCCCGCGGCCCAACUGCGGGACUGCUUUGGAAACUGCCCGGCUAGAGUGCUGGAGAGG
RNAcentral lists this ribosomal RNA (305 nucleotides) under uncultured bacterium. RNAcentral's name for it is "bacterial SSU rRNA". It matches the Rfam family "Bacterial small subunit ribosomal RNA", at positions 335 to 657 of the family's 1533-position model. The record is from RNAcentral.